GUGAGCGCGCCCUAUCGGCUCCCGGCGCGUCAACAUUCCGCGGGCCAGGCCUUGGGGCAGUGCCUGAUGGCUGAGAAGAAUCGCAGAGGACUAGAAAAGGUUUGAGUCUGAAAUUAUCUGGCACAGAGGAUUAGAGCUCAGAAAUAAGUGAUUGCGAAACAGUUCAACUUCCCUGUUAAUGACAACAACAACAACAGCAACACGCUUAUUAAUUCCUAGCUGGAGCAUCAAGCUUAUGAAGAUUUCCAAGUAAGACUUUAUUGUUGACCCUUGUUGAAGAGAACUCUACUUGGCUUCUUUCCUGGCUUUCCUAAAUUGUUCACAUACAAGAUAAACUACCGUCAUUCAGACUUACAGAAGUGAGAAGACAAGCUGAACCAAAUGUAAAAUGGUAGCAAUUUACAGAUGUCAGAACUAACAUGUGGAUGAACUUAGAGAUGGAGAAGAAAGCUGGGCUUUUCCAAAGAGUGGAUCUAUCUGAACUGGAUAGCACUAUUGAACUUUGUUGCAUAUUUUGUGGUAGCUCUAAAACUCCUCUGCUUGCUUACAUACAACCAGACACCAGUGCCUUCUGAAGCUAAUCCAGGCCAUUUUUAUAACCUAAUGCAGUAGCACUUUGCAAUUAGAUGAAGAAGAUCGGUGGGAUUUCUUUCUGUGGUGAUUAAAAUGUGUCAGGGGAAGAAAUCAAGACAAUACUCCAAGUGAAAAAUAUAAAGUCAGUUAUUUCUUUAAUAUUUUGUGUUAUAGUAAUCAUUUUUAUAUUUUGAGCAUACUUUUUCUUGUCUACUUAAAUACUCAAAAUUAAUUAUAAAAUGUAAAUGUAAGCACAAUGAGAUACCAUCUCAUCCCAGUUAAAAUGGCUUUUAUCAAAAAGAUAGGGAAUAAUGAAUACUGGUGGAAGGAUGUGGAGAAUGGGGAACCCUCGUACACUGUCAGUGAGAAUGUAAAUUAGUACAGCCACUAUGGAAAACUGUAUGGAAGUGCCUCCGAAAACAAAGUAGAACUACCAUGUGAUCCAGCAAUUACACUAGUGGGUAUAUAUUCAAAAGAAAGGAAAUCAACAUAUCAAAGAGAUAGCUGCAUUCUCAUGUUUAUUGAAGUCCUGUUGAAAUAGCCAAAAUAUGGAAUCAACCUAAGUGCCCAUCAGUGGAUGAAUGGUUAAAGAAAAUGUGAUUGAUAUGCAAUGGAAUAUUAUUCAGCCAUAAAAAAGAAUGAAAUCCUGGCGGGGCACAGUGGCUCAUGCAAGUAAUCCCAGCACUGACCUCAUGAAGACAGAGAGUAGAUUGGUGGUUACCAGAGGUUGAGAAGGGGAGAGGAGAGGAGGGAUGAAGAGAGGUUGAUUGAUGGAUACAAAUAUACAGUUUGAUAAUGAUAAAUCAGUAGGGUGACUAUAGUUUAUAAUAACCUAUUGUAUGGUUCAAAAUAGCUAAAAGAGAAUAAUUGAAAUAACGUAAGACAAAAAUUUAAGAUGAUAGAUAUCCCAAUUACACUGAUUUGAUCUUUACAAAUUAUAUGAAUGUAUUAAAUUAUUACAUGUAUCCCCA
This 1544-nucleotide long non-coding RNA is filed under the name Pan troglodytes (chimpanzee). Its description in RNAcentral is "long non-coding RNA NONPTRT014258". Lineage: Eukaryota; Metazoa; Chordata; Mammalia; Primates; Hominidae. The record is from RNAcentral.